Molecule: long non-coding RNA, 856 nt
Organism: Leptopilina boulardi
Lineage: Eukaryota; Metazoa; Arthropoda; Insecta; Hymenoptera; Figitidae
Exons: 6
Source: RefSeq, a predicted model, not a curated record
UUGUGCAGUGAAAAUUUAAAACAGUAGUGAGAAGUGUAUGUGCAUUUUUUUUUAUUUACUAAAGAAAUAUUAGCAAAAGAAAAACAGUAAUUGUUACAUUAGAAACAAAUUAAAAGAUUAAAACAUUUAGGUUUCUUAAUUAAAAACGUGGUGCGAGCACAUUGUCCUUAUAGUCGAACAAGAUGAAAAAAUGGAUGAAGUCAGGAUUUACAAUAACAAAAGAAAAUGGGUAAAGUUUUUUUGUAGAUGUAGACCAAAAUAAUUUUUGGAGCUGAAUAAGGGAAAAUAUUCAACAGAAAAUUACAUCUUGGGUAAAGUUUUUUGUGAAUUUUUUGAAAGAAAUACUGAGAUGAUUGCGCUCGACCAACAUAAUUUUUGGAGCUGAAUAAGGGAAAAUAUUCACCAGAAAAUUACAUCUUGGGUUAGGUUUUUUUUUGUGGAUUUUUUAAAGAAAUACUGAGAUUAUUGCGCUCGACAAAAAUAAUCCAACAUUUUUGGAGCUGAAUGAGGGAAAAAAUAUUCACCAGAAAAUGACAUCUUGAUAAAGUUUUUCGUGAAUUUUUUUUAAAAGAAAUACUGAGACGAUUGCGCUCGACAAAAAUAAAUUUUGGAGCUGAAUGAGAGAAAAUAUUCAUCAGAAAAUGAUAACUUGGGUAAAGUUAUUCGUGAAUUUUUUUUAAAGAAAUACUGAGGUGAUUGCGCUUGACAAGAAUAAUUCAACAUUUUGGUGCUGAGGGAAAAUAAUGACAUCUUGGGUAAGUACCUAAAACAAUUAAUAUUUAUUUUCAUGAUGAUUUCUCGAAAAAGGGACAAAAAAUAUCAAAAAUGUUCCCGAAAGUUUAAUUAAUUAUCUUAU